GAUGAACGCUAGCGGCAGGCUUAAUACAUGCAAGUCGAGGGGCAGCGGGGGUAGCAAUACCUGCCGGCGACCGGCAAACGGGUGAGGAACAUGUACGCAACCUUCCUUUAACUGGAGGAUAGCCCCUCGAAAGAGGGAUUAAUACUCCGUAAUAUAAUGAAGUGGCAUCACUUUAUUAUUAUAGCUCCGGCGGUUAAAGAUGGGCGUGCAGCUGAUUAGAUAGUUGGCGGGGUAACGGCCCACCAAGUCUACGAUCAGUAACUGGUGUGAGAGCACGACCAGUCACACGGGCACUGAGACACGGGCCCGACUCCUACGGGAGGCAGCAGUAAGGAAUAUUGGUCAAUGGACGCAAGUCUGAACCAGCCAUGCCGCGUGAAGGAUUAAGGCCCUCUGGGUUGUAAACUUCUUUUAUAUGGGAAGAAAUGUACUUUUUCUAAAGUGCUUGACGGUACCAUAGGAAUAAGCACCGGCUAACUCC
Molecule: ribosomal RNA, 481 nt
Filed under: Bacteroidetes bacterium enrichment culture clone EE2-III
Lineage: Bacteria; Pseudomonadati; Bacteroidota
Description: bacterial SSU rRNA
Rfam family: Bacterial small subunit ribosomal RNA
Source: RNAcentral